AGAUAGCGUUCCAAACAGCAAAGACUCUAGAGAAGAAAAAUAUCAAGUCAUUUAGUCAGCUGGACGGCAGGACCGGGUGUCUUGGAAGUCCUAGCCCUGAGGAAGAUUUGGGGUUAUGCAGCUUUCAAGAGGAAGAUGUUUCAGGAUACUUAUUUCUGAUCUCAUGGCGGGGCAUCACACCAGACCCAUUACAUGCAUGCUGGGAGAACAGAGCAACCUUCAAUCCCUAUACACGGGCUACUUAACCCUCUUAGUCUCCUCUUUCUGGCAGAAGGAGCACAGAGCAGCCAGACGUGAGCUGUGAGAAGAUGAGGCAUCUGCAGAUGAAGUUCUGAUGCACCCACUCAUGGAGGCCAAGCUAUCCCUCCUGCAAGUCCUGCCCCGAUAAGGCUUCUCCCACCGGCUUCCCAUGGGCUUUCUGAGACUGUUUUCCAGAUGGGCUCAGGGGUCCCUCAAAUGAGGCAGCUUGGGGAAAGACUGAAAGAACUCCGCAGGGUCACACAGAGUGCCUAGAGACCAAGGCACCAGCAUAAAGGCUACAUUUGUGAGGAGCAACAGAAAGACAGCCAAGCACUGAGGAGCAGGUGGAAGUCCUGCUGGUCGUCUAACCAAGUGAUGACCCUCGGUGUGUUUAAAGAGGAAAAGAAGAUGCAUAUGAAGCCCCCGAGGAUCCUGGGGAAAAGUUGGAUGCUCUAGGAGUGGCCAGAGAGAAUACAGGAUGCACGUGGAACAUUUUGUACCAGAAAGCAAAAGAGAACCCCAAGAUUGAUAGAGCCAUGGCCAAAAGACCUACAUAGGAGCCAAUUCAAACUGCUCACACUGGCCAAACCUGGUGACCUGCGCAUCAAAAGCUAUGAUACUGACAGGGGAUGGGGAAGGGGCCCAAAGCUUCAUCAUUCAGUAAUAAUGUUCAUGAAAGAACAGAGGGCUAAGGAAAGUGUUUCUUUACAAGAAUUCUAGGUGAUACAUACAGAGUGGUUCUAUAAUAGAAAACCUUAGUUUUCUAACCCACAGUAUUAUCAUUGGCAUAGACAGGAGUCGUUAAUAGACGAUAGAGUCAGUAGGUGAAGAUUAAAAAGAUAUCUAUACAGGGACAGAGUGUUGCCCCACAAACCGCUUAUUAAUUAAAAGUGGAAAGUAUAUCUAGUGAUCCGCUAUCUUAAGUGAUCAAAUUUACCAUCAUCACUAGGGGAGGCAAUGCUUUCUGAUGCUCCCUAGAUUAUAUAUUGUGGACUAUACAAAUAAGACAUGUGAAGUGUUUUCUCCAGAGCCUUCAGCUUGAAUCUUGUCAAGACUUUAGAACUAUAUUCUAGGUUAUCAGGAAUAUAAUUCAAUGACGUUCUAAGGAAAUGAACACACCUAGAAUAUAGACAUUUUACAGGUAAAUUGUAUUGAGUUUUGCAGAAAUAUCAUGGCUGGGGACUAGGGGGUGUGGCUUAGUUGGUAACGUGCCUGGUGUGCAUGGAGUCAGAAGUAGCAAUAUCAUAAUUAGAAAACACAAAAACGGUGAGAACAUUGAGUAUGGUGGCUAUUUCUGGCUGUCAGCUUGAUGACAUCUGGAAUGAACUACAAUCCAGAAGUGAAGGGCACACCUGUGAUCCAGAUCCUGAGGCCAGAAGACACAGGCUUUUGACCUGGAUCUUGAGGCAUAGUGGCUAAAAAAAGCUUAGGCCCAGGCAAGGUGGUGAAUGCUUUAAUCCCAGGAGGUAGAGGCAGGCAGAUCUCUUCAAGGCCAGCCUGGAACAGAGCAAGUUCCAAGUCCAGGCAUAGUGGUGCACACCUCUAAUCUGGGCCACACCUUCUGCUGGAGGCCAACUUAAGGACAAUGGAAGAAGGAAAGGGCACUCUUCUCCUGCUCGCACUUACUUGCCAGCACAUCUGUUGGAGCCUACUUCUUCAGGAUUCCAGCUUAUACAGAAGCCCAGCUGAGACAAUCAGCCUCCUGGGUCUGAGCAAUUACUAGACUUUUGGACUUCCCAUUCACAGCUUCCCAUUGUUGGGCUAGUUGAACUGCAGACUGUGAGCCAUUCCAAUAAUUUCCCUUAAUAUUUAAAGACACUCCAUACGUUCUGUGACUCUAGAGAACCCUGACUAGUACGUUGGCCUAAGAGAAUUAGGAUAAAAAAAGGGCAAAUAUUUAGUCCAGCAUUCAAGAGGCAGAGGUAGAUGAGUUUCUAUGAAUUUGAGGCCAGCUUGUUCUACAGUGUGCGUUCCAGUCUAGCUAAGACUACAUAGUUAGACCCUGUCUGAAACAAACAAACAAACAAACAAACAGGCAAAGUAAGAAAAAAACCAGUCUAAAGAGACACACUUUUGUAAAAUAAAACCCUUGUUGAAUCCUUAGGGGGGAAAAAU
Long non-coding RNA from Mus spicilegus (steppe mouse), 2355 nucleotides. The record is from Ensembl. NCBI's taxonomy places the organism in Eukaryota, Metazoa, Chordata, Mammalia, Rodentia, Muridae.